GACGAACGCUGGCGGCGUGCUUAACACAUGCAAGUCGAACGGAAAGGCCCUGCUUUUGUGGGGUGCUCGAGUGGCGAACGGGUGAGUAACACGUGAGUAACCUGCCCUUGACUUUGGGAUAACUUCAGGAAACUGGGGCUAAUACCGGAUAGGAGCUCCUGCUGCAUGGUGGGGGUUGGAAAUUUUCGGCGGUUGGGGAUGGACUCGCGGCUUAUCAGCUUGUUGGUGGGGUAGUGGCUUACCAAGGCUUUGACGGGUAGCCGGCCUGCGAGGGUGACCGGCCACAUUGGGACUGAGAUACGGCCCAGACGUCUACGGGAGGCAGCAGUGGGGAAUAUUGCACAAUGGGAGGAAGCCUGAUGCAGCAACGCUGCGUGCGGGAUGACGGCCUUCGGGUUGUAAACCGCUUUCGCCUGUGACGAAGCGUGAGUGACGGUAAUGGGUAAAGAAGCACCGGCUAACUACGUG
This 468-nucleotide ribosomal RNA is filed under the name uncultured bacterium. RNAcentral's name for it is "partial 16S ribosomal RNA". It matches the Rfam family "Bacterial small subunit ribosomal RNA", at positions 28 to 507 of the family's 1533-position model. The record is from RNAcentral.